AAUACCACAAAUUCCUAUGAACCCCCACCCCAUACUGAAUGACCCCAUAAAUAUAUGGGAGACACUAUGCUGAAACUAGUAACAAGAAUUUAACAUUCUCCAAAAUGCAAGCAUAAGCCAAAAUGGAUACUCCACUGGCCAUUAACGAAAAUGAAAAAAACACAGUAACACCACAAGAAAACUCUGGGUAUAAACUCGUUAACCUUACACUAGCGCAUUACUGGAAAGAUUCAAAGAGGAAGAAGGAACUCGGCAAAUUUCAAUCCCGCCUGUUUACCAAAAACAUCGCCUCUUGAAAACUAUAAGAGGUCCAGCCUGCCCAGUGACAAAGUUCAACGGCCACGGUACCCUAACCGUGCGAAGGUAGCAUAAUCACUUGUUCUUUAAAUAGGGACUAGUAUCAACGGCAUCACGAGGGUUGCACUGUCUCCUUCCUUUAAUCAGUGAAACUGAUCUCCCCGUGAAGAAGCGGGGAUACAACUAUAAGACGAGAAGACCCCAUGGAGCUUUAAACCGACAGCAACUCAAUUAUAUACUUCCUUAUACUCCAAAAGACAUGCACAUAGGUUUUAGGUUGGGGUGACCGCGGAGUACAAAUUAACCUCCGCGACGAAAAGAACUAAAUCUUUAUCCAAGAGCUACAACUCUAAGAAUUAGCACACUAACGAACAUGAUCCGAUGAUCGAUCAACGAACCAAGUUACCCUGGGGAUAACAGCGCAAUCUACUUCAAGAGCCCAUAUCGACAAGUAGGCUUACGACCUCGAUGUUGGAUCAGGGUAUCCAAGUGGUGCAGCCGCUACUAACGGUUCG
This 812-nucleotide ribosomal RNA is filed under the name Leptomantis gauni. RNAcentral describes it as "Rhacophorus gauni partial 16S ribosomal RNA". It matches the Rfam family "Bacterial large subunit ribosomal RNA", at positions 1244 to 2575 of the family's 2925-position model. The record is from RNAcentral. Lineage: Eukaryota; Metazoa; Chordata; Amphibia; Anura; Rhacophoridae.